CCCUUAGAUGUCCUGGGCCGCACGCGCGUUACACUGGUGCAUUCAACGAGCUUAUAACCUUGGCCGAGAGGCCUGGGCAAUCUUGUUAACGUGCAUCGUGAUAGGGAUAGAUUAUUGAAAUUAUUAAUCUUGAACGAGGAAUUCCUAGUAAACGCAGAUCAUCAAUCUGCAUUGAUUACGUCCCUGCCCUUUGUACACACCGCCCGUCGCACCUACCGAUUGGAUGGUCCGGUGAAGCCUCGGGAUUGUGGUUCUUGCCGCUUUAUUGUGGCGUGACCGCGAGAACUUGUCUAAACCUUAUCAUCUAGAGGAAGGUGAAGUCGUAACA
RNAcentral lists this ribosomal RNA (328 nucleotides) under uncultured eukaryote. Its description in RNAcentral is "partial 18S ribosomal RNA". It matches the Rfam family "Eukaryotic small subunit ribosomal RNA", at positions 1470 to 1796 of the family's 1831-position model. The record is from RNAcentral.